This 433-nucleotide ribosomal RNA is filed under the name uncultured bacterium. RNAcentral's name for it is "partial 16S ribosomal RNA". It matches the Rfam family "Bacterial small subunit ribosomal RNA", at positions 29 to 507 of the family's 1533-position model. The record is from RNAcentral.
AGCGAACGCUGGCGGCAGGCCUAACACAUGCAAGUCGAACGAACUCUUCGGAGUUAGUUGCGGACGGGUGAGUAACACGUGGGAACGUUCCUUUUGGUUCGGACUAACUCAGGGAAACUUGUGCUAAUACCGAAUGUGCCCUUGGGGGGAAAGAUUAAUCGCCAUUAGAGCGGCCCGCGUCUGAUUAGCUAGUUGGUGAGGUAACGGCCCACCAAGGCGACGAUCAGUAGCUGGUCUGAGAGGAUGACCAGCCACACUGGGACUGAGACACGGCCCAGACUCCUACGGGAGGCAGCAGUGGGGAAUCUUGCGCAAUGGGCGAAAGCCUGACGCAGCCAUGCCGCGUGAAUGAUGAAGGUCUUAGGAUUGUAAAAUUCUUUCACCGGGGACGAUAAUGACGGUACCCGGAGAAGAAGCCCCGGCUAACUUCGUG